GACAACUUUGGGAAGAUAUUGAUUGUUCAUUCCUAAAAGUUCUCUAUCCGAUCGUUCAACCAUUGAGCAAAGCUGGUCAUGCACAAGCUUUGCCUCAAUUAGAUCACUUCUUAUUGGUAAGCAGCUUAACCAAGCAGGGAAUACCCGUGCUGCAUCUAUACUAUCCCGAUGGAACUGGCAUAUUUUUCCAAGCGCUGAAACAGCAUUGUCAUAUGCCAUAGCAUUGUCCGGAAGAUGUGCACUAGGAUCGCUUAUUACAACAUUCAGCUUAGAAAGGGCCUCCCUAACAAGUGGUUUAAAUGCAGAUCCACCAAACUCU
This 319-nucleotide unclassified non-coding RNA is filed under the name Hevea brasiliensis (rubber tree). The record is from RNAcentral. Lineage: Eukaryota; Viridiplantae; Streptophyta; Magnoliopsida; Malpighiales; Euphorbiaceae.